Molecule: non-coding RNA, 456 nt
Organism: Peromyscus californicus insignis
Lineage: Eukaryota; Metazoa; Chordata; Mammalia; Rodentia; Cricetidae
Source: the annotation of a RefSeq genome assembly
AUGGGGUCAGCUUCUCUCCUGCUAUGGGUACUGCUGCUCUGGGUUCCAGGUUCUACUGCAGACAUUGUGCUGACCCAGUCUCUGCCUUCACUGACUGUGUCUCUAGGGCAAAGGGCCACCGUGUCUUGUAGGUCCAGCCAGAGUGUCACUAUAGGUAGUAUUAUUCAUUAUCUUCACUGGUAUCAACAGAAACCAGGACAGCCCCCCAAACUCCUCAUCUAUGCAGCAUCCAACCUAGAAUCUGGGGUCCCUGCCAGGUUCAGUGGCAGUGGGUCUGGGACAGACUUCACCCUCACCAUCAAUCCUGUGGAGGCUGAUGAUGCUGCAACCUAUUACUGUCAGGAAUUUUUCAUUUCUUCUUUGAAGUCAUUUCUCUUUACUCAGAAGGCAUUUGUGGGUCUGAAGAGAUUCAUAUUGACUACGAGAACCCACAGGCUGUUCUUUCAGAGGGUCUAG